AUUGAACGCUGGCGGCAGGCCUAACACAUGCAAGUCGAGCGAGCGGCGGACGGGUGUGUAAUGUAUGGGGCUCUGCCUGAUGGCGGGGGAUAACUACUGGCAACGGUAGCUAAUACCGCAUACCAUCAGAUGAACCCCUAUGGGAUUAGCCUGUAGGUGAGGUAACGGCUCACCCAGGCGACGAUCCCUAGCUGGUCUGAGAGGCUGAUCAGACACACGGGAACUAAGACACGGCCCCGACUCCUACGGGAGGCAGCAGUUGGGAAUAUUGCACAAUGGGCGCAAGCCUGAUGCAGCCAUGACGCGUGUAUGAAGAAGGCCUAAGGGUUGUAAAGUACUUUCAGUCGGGAGGCGUUACCGACAGAAGAAGCACCGGCUAACUCCGUGCCAGCAGCCGCGGUAAUAC
RNAcentral lists this ribosomal RNA (406 nucleotides) under uncultured bacterium. RNAcentral describes it as "partial 16S ribosomal RNA". It matches the Rfam family "Bacterial small subunit ribosomal RNA", at positions 30 to 526 of the family's 1533-position model. The record is from RNAcentral.